RNAcentral lists this ribosomal RNA (430 nucleotides) under uncultured bacterium. RNAcentral's name for it is "bacterial SSU rRNA". It matches the Rfam family "Bacterial small subunit ribosomal RNA", at positions 355 to 777 of the family's 1533-position model. The record is from RNAcentral.
UGGGGAAUAUUGCACAAUGGGCGCAAGCCUGAUGCAGCCAUGCCGCGUGUAUGAAGAAGGCCUUCGGGUUGUAAAGUACUUUCAGCGGGGAGGAAGGGAGUAAAGUUAAUACCUUUGCUCAUUGACGUUACCCGCCGAAGAAGCACCGGCUAACUCCGUGCCAGCAGCCGCGGUAAUACGGAGGGUGCAAGCGUUAAUCGGAAUUACUGGGCGUAAAGCGCACGCAGGCGGUUUGUUAAGUCAGAUGUGAAAUCCCCGGGCUCAACCUGGGAACUGCAUCUGAUACUGGCAAGCUUGAGUCUCGUAGAGGGGGGUAGAAUUCCAGGUGUAGCGGUGAAAUGCGUAGAGAUCUGGAGGAAUACCGGUGGCGAAGGCGGCCCCCUGGACGAAGACUGACGCUCAGGUGCGAAAGCGUGGGGAGCAAACAGGA